Marmota marmota marmota (Alpine marmot) is the source of this 117-nucleotide small nucleolar RNA. The record is from Ensembl. NCBI's taxonomy places the organism in Eukaryota, Metazoa, Chordata, Mammalia, Rodentia, Sciuridae.
AGCUCAUUCUAGAUGAGAAUGGGCACUGUCCAAAAUAGAUCAAUGUGGCUAAAUUGACACAGGUUAUGCAUCCAUCACAUUACAUGUAUGGCAGUGAUAACAUUUUGCUUAAGCUCA